UGUGGGUUAGUCCGCACGAGCGCACCCUAUCCUUAGUUGCUAGCAGGUAAUGCUGAGAACUCUAAGGAGACUGCCGGUGAUAAACCGGAGGAAGGUGGGGACGACGUCAAGUCAUCAUGGCCCUUACGUGUAGGGCUACACACGUGCUACAAUGGCGCAUACAGAGUGCUGCGAACCUGCGAAGGUAAGCGAAUCACUUAAAGUGCGUCGUAGUCCGGAUUGGAGUCUGCAACUCGACUCCAUGAAGUCGGAAUCGCUAGUAAUCGUGGAUCAGAAUGCCACGGUGAAUACGUUCCCGGGCCUUGUACACACCGCCCGUCACACCAUGGGAGUGGGCUGCAAAAGAAGUGGGUAGUUUAACCUUCGGGAGAACGCUCACCACUUUGUGGUUCAUGACUGGGGUGAAGUCGUAACAAGGUAGCCCUAGGGGAACCUGGGGCUGGAUCACCUCCUU
RNAcentral lists this ribosomal RNA (454 nucleotides) under uncultured Pseudoalteromonas sp. Its description in RNAcentral is "bacterial SSU rRNA". It matches the Rfam family "Bacterial small subunit ribosomal RNA", at positions 1074 to 1532 of the family's 1533-position model. Lineage: Bacteria; Pseudomonadati; Pseudomonadota; Gammaproteobacteria; Alteromonadales; Pseudoalteromonadaceae. The record is from RNAcentral.